This 1522-nucleotide ribosomal RNA is filed under the name Clostridioides difficile. RNAcentral describes it as "partial 23S ribosomal RNA". It matches the Rfam family "Bacterial large subunit ribosomal RNA", at positions 1 to 1534 of the family's 2925-position model. Lineage: Bacteria; Bacillati; Bacillota; Clostridia; Peptostreptococcales; Peptostreptococcaceae. The record is from RNAcentral.
GGUCAAGUUAUUAAGGGUGCAGGGCGGAUGCCUUGGCACUAGGAGCCGAUGAAGGACGUGAUAAGCUGCGAUAAGCUUCGGGGAGUUGCACGUAAACUUUGAUCCGAAGAUUUCCGAAUGAGGAAACUCACUUAGAGUAAUGUCUAAGUAUCAUUAAGUGAAUACAUAGCUUAAUGAGGGGAACUCAGGGAACUGAAACAUCUAAGUACCUGAAGGAAGAGAAAGAAAUUCGAUUCCGUAAGUAGCGGCGAGCGAACGCGGAUUAGCCCAAACCAAUAAAGUUUUCUUUAUUGGGGUUGCGGACAUAUCAUAACGAAGAGGUAUCGUAAUUGAAGAGGUUUGGAAAGACCCACCACAGAAGGUAAUAGUCCUGUAUGUUAAACGAGAAGACUUCAGAUAUGAUCCAGAGUACCACGGGACACGUGAAACCCUGUGGGAAGCAGGAGGGACCACCCUCCAAGGCUAAAUACUACCUAGUGACCGAUAGCGUAUAGUACCGUGAGGGAAAGGUGAAAAGAACCCCGGGAGGGGAGUGAAAUAGAACCUGAAACCCUGCACUUACAAGCUGUGGAAGCACAUUUCUUGUGUGACCGCGUACUUUUUGUAGAACGGGCCAACGAGUUACGUUAAGUAGCAAGGUUAAGCACUUAAGGUGCGGAGCCGUAGCGAAAGCGAGUUUUAACUGAGCGUUCAGUUACUUGACGUAGACCCGAAACCGGGCGACCUACCCAUGAGCAGGAUGAAGCGAAAGUAAAAUUUCGUGGAGGUCCGAACCCACGAGCGUUGAAAAGCUCGGGGAUGACUUGUGGGUAGCGGUGAAAUUCCAAUCGAGCCCGGAGAUAGCUGGUUCUCCCCGAAAUAGCUUUAGGGCUAGCCUCAAGGUGAGAGAUACGGAGGUAGAGCACUGAAUGUCCUAGGGGGUAUUGCACCUACCGAAGACUAUCAAACUCCGAAUGCCGUCAUCUUAUACUUGGGAGUCAGACUGUGGGUGAUAAGAUUCAUAGUCGAAAGGGCAACAGCCCAGAUCGUCAGCUAAGGUCCCUAAAUGUAAGUUAAGUGGUAAAGGAUGUGGGAUUGCACAGACAACCAGGAUGUUGGCUUAGAAGCAGCCACUCAUUCAAAGAGUGCGUAAUAGCUCACUGGUCGAGUGAUCCUGCGCCGAAGAUUUCCGGGGCUAAAACUUACUACCGAAGCUACGGCAUCAGUAAUGAUGGGUAGGGGAGCUUCCCAUACGGGUUGAAGCAUGACCGUAAGGACAUGUGGACAGUAUGGGAGUGAGAAUGUUGGCAUGAGUAGCGAGAUGUGGGUGAGAAUCCCACAGGCCGUAAACCCAAGGUUUCCAGGGGAAGGUUCGUCCGCCCUGGGUUAGUCGGGACCUAAGCUGAGGCCGAAAGGCGUAGGUGAUGGACAACAGGUUGAUAUUCCUGUACUACCGAUAACCGUUUGAGAGAAGGGAUGACACAGUAGGAUAAGCUAAGCACACUGUUGGUUAUGUGUGCCCAAGCAUUGAGGCAGUCAAAGU